This 495-nucleotide ribosomal RNA is filed under the name uncultured bacterium. RNAcentral describes it as "partial 16S ribosomal RNA". It matches the Rfam family "Bacterial small subunit ribosomal RNA", at positions 28 to 523 of the family's 1533-position model. The record is from RNAcentral.
GAUGGACGCUGGCGGCGUGCCUAACACAUGCAAGUCGAACGAAGCACUUUAGCUUGAUUCUUCGGAUGAAGGCUAUUGUGACUGAGUGGCGGACGGGUGAGUAACGCGUGGGUAACCUGCCUCAUACAGGGGGAUAACAGUUAGAAAUGACUGCUAAUACCGCAUAAGACCACGGAGUCGCAUGACUCAGUGGGAAAAACUCUGGUGGUAUGAGAUGGACCCGCGUCUGAUUAGGUAGUUGGUGGGGUAACGGCCUACCAAGCCGACGAUCAGUAGCCGACCUGAGAGGGUGACCGGCCACAUUGGGACUGAGACACGGCCCAAACUCCUACGGGAGGCAGCAGUGGGGAAUAUUGCACAAUGGGGGAAACCCUGAUGCAGCGACGCCGCGUGAGCGAAGAAGUAUUUCGGUAUGUAAAGCUCUAUCAGCAGGGAAGAAAAUGACGGUACCUGACUAAGAAGCCCCGGCUAACUACGUGCCAGCAGCCGCAGUAA